GACGUAGGGCGCGAGCGUUGUCCGGAUUUAUUGGGCGUAAAGAGCUCGUAGGCGGCUUGUCGCGUCAACUGUGAAAACCCGUGGCUCAACCAUGUGGUCUGCAGUCGAUACGGGCAGGCUAGAAUUCGGUAGGGGAGACUGGAAUUUACAGUGUAGCGGUGAAAUGCGUAGAUAUUGGGAAGAACACCGGUGGCGAAGGCGCUCUACUGGGCCAUAACUGACACUGAUGGACGAAAGCUAGGGGAGCGAAAGGG
Molecule: ribosomal RNA, 254 nt
Filed under: uncultured bacterium
Lineage: Bacteria
Description: partial 16S ribosomal RNA
Rfam family: Bacterial small subunit ribosomal RNA
Source: RNAcentral